GACAGAGGUCCCAAGCGUUAGGCGGAAUCACUGGGCUUAAAGCGUGUAUAGGCGGAUCCGUAAGUACCUUGUGAAAUCCCACGGCUCAACCGUGGAACUGCUGGGUAUACUGCGGGUCUUGAGCCACCUAGGGGCGAGCGGAACAAGUGGUGGAGCGGUGAAAUGCGUAGAUAUCACUUGGAACGCCAAUGGUGAAAACAGCUCGCUGGGGGUGUGCUGACGCUGAGACACGAAAGCCAGGGGAGCAAACGGG
RNAcentral lists this ribosomal RNA (253 nucleotides) under uncultured bacterium. RNAcentral describes it as "partial 16S ribosomal RNA". It matches the Rfam family "Bacterial small subunit ribosomal RNA", at positions 524 to 776 of the family's 1533-position model. The record is from RNAcentral.